UAGGGAAUUUUGCGCAAUGGGGGAAACCCUGACGCAGCAACGCCGCGUGUGUGAUGAAGCCCUUCGGGGUGUAAAACACUGUCAGUGGGGACGAAACUUGACGGUACCCACAAAGGAAGCACCGGCUAACUCCGUGCCAGCAGCCGCGGUAAUACGGAGGGUGCAAGCGUUGUCCGGAAUCAUUGGGCGUAAAGCGUUCGUAGGCGGCAUACCAAGUCUGGUGUUAAAGCCCGAGGCUCAACCUCGGAUCGGCACUGGAUACUGGUAAGCUAGAAUACGGUAGAGGUGAAGGGAAUUCCUGGUGUAGCGGUGAAAUGCGUAGAUAUCAGGAGGAACAUCGGUGGCGAAAGCGCUUCACUGGGCCGUUAUUGACGCUGAGGAACGAAAGCCGGGGGAGCAAAUG
Molecule: ribosomal RNA, 403 nt
Filed under: uncultured prokaryote
Description: bacterial SSU rRNA
Rfam family: Bacterial small subunit ribosomal RNA
Source: RNAcentral